This 253-nucleotide ribosomal RNA is filed under the name uncultured bacterium. Its description in RNAcentral is "partial 16S ribosomal RNA". It matches the Rfam family "Bacterial small subunit ribosomal RNA", at positions 524 to 776 of the family's 1533-position model. The record is from RNAcentral.
UACGUAGGGGGCAAGCGUUGUCCGGAUUUAUUGGGCGUAAAGAGCGUGUAGGCGGCCAGACAGGUCCGUUGUGAAAACUAGAGGCUUAACCUCUAGACGUCGAUGGAAACCGUCUGGCUAGAGUCCGGAAGAGGAGAAUGGAAUUCCUGGUGUAGCGGUGACAUGCGCAGAUAUCAGGAAGAACACCCGUGGCUAAGGCGGUUCUCUAGUACGGUACUGACGCUGAGACGCGAAAGCGUGGGGAGCGAACAGG